Molecule: non-coding RNA, 238 nt
Organism: Danio rerio (zebrafish)
Lineage: Eukaryota; Metazoa; Chordata; Actinopteri; Cypriniformes; Danionidae
Source: Ensembl
GCGGAGGGUCUGCUGCAGGGUUUCUGCUGAUGCGAGCGCAUUGCAGCUGAACACAUGUGUUUGUGUUAAAACCAUGGACUACUGAAACACACCUGCCUGGUCGCGUGUGUGUGUGUGUGAGCGUACAAACAACAUCCGCAUUCACAUCCAGGACUGAAGCUAUGCUACAAGCCCGUGGAGAAUGUCAGCCCUGAAAAAGGUGUUACCAUGGAUACUGCAGACACAUUGCUGCCUUUUC